UACGUAGGGGGCCAGCGUUGUCCGGAAUCAUUGGGCGUAAAGCGCGCGUAGGCGGCCAGAUAAGUCCGGUGUGAAAGUCAAAGGCUCAACCUUUGAAUGCCGCUGGAAACUGCCUGGCUUGAGUCCGGAAGGGGCGAGUGGAAUUCCUGGUGUAGCGGUGAAAUGCGCAGAUAUCAGGAGGAACACCAAUGGCGAAGGCAGCUCGCUGGAACGGUACUGACGCUGAGGCACGAAAGCGUGGGGAGCAAACAGG
Molecule: ribosomal RNA, 253 nt
Filed under: uncultured bacterium
Lineage: Bacteria
Description: partial 16S ribosomal RNA
Rfam family: Bacterial small subunit ribosomal RNA
Source: RNAcentral